GCCUGCCCAGUGACCCAAUUCAACGGCCGCGGUAUCCUGACCGUGCGAAGGUAGCGUAAUCACUUGUUCUUUAAAUAAGGACUAGUAUGAACGGCACCACGAAGGCUGUACUGUCUCCCGCCUCUAAUCAGUGAACUUAAUCUCCCCGUGAAGAAGCGGGGAUAAAACCAUAAGACGAGAAGACCCCAUGGAGCUUAAAACAAAAGGCACCUGCUAACAACAAAGUUAAGCGACUUGACCUGACGUUUUCGGUUGGGGCGACCACGGAGAACAACCCACCCUCCAUGCUGAAAGAUGAUAAUCUUAGCCAAAACAACCCAUUUAAGCACCAGAAUCCUGACAUUCAUUGACCCAAUCUAAUUGAUCAACGAACCAAGUUACCCUGGGGAUAACAGCGCAAUCCACUUCGAGAGCCCCUAUCGACAAGUGGGUUUACGACCUCGAUGUUGGAUCAGGGUUCCCAAGUGG
Molecule: ribosomal RNA, 468 nt
Filed under: Uperoleia lithomoda (stonemason's toadlet)
Lineage: Eukaryota; Metazoa; Chordata; Amphibia; Anura; Myobatrachidae
Description: partial 16S ribosomal RNA
Rfam family: Bacterial large subunit ribosomal RNA
Source: RNAcentral